RNAcentral lists this ribosomal RNA (500 nucleotides) under uncultured bacterium. RNAcentral describes it as "partial 16S ribosomal RNA". It matches the Rfam family "Bacterial small subunit ribosomal RNA", at positions 30 to 523 of the family's 1533-position model. The record is from RNAcentral.
AUUGAACGCUGGCGGCAUGCCUUACACAUGCAAGUCGAACGGCAGCACGGACUUCGGUCUGGUGGCGAGUGGCGAACGGGUGAGUAAUGUAUCGGAACGUACCAUUGAGUGGGGGAUAACGUAGCGAAAGUUACGCUAAUACCGCAUAUACCCCGAGGGGGAAAGCAGGGGAUCUUAGGACCUUGUGCUCUUUGAGCGGCCGAUAUCAGAUUAGCUAGUUGGUGAGGUAAAGGCUCACCAAGGCGACGAUCUGUAGCGGGUCUGAGAGGAUGAUCCGCCACACUGGGACUGAGACACGGUCCAGACUCCUACGGGAGGCAGCAGUGGGGAAUUUUGGACAAUGGGGGCAACCCUGAUCCAGCCAUGCCGCGUGAGUGAAGAAGGCCUUCGGGUUGUAAAGCUCUUUCAGCCGGGAAGAAAUCUUGGUGGCUAAUAUCCAUCAUGGAUGACGGUACCGGAAUAAGAAGCACCGGCUAACUACGUGCCAGCCGCCGCGGUAA